GAUGAACGCUGGCGGCGUGCCUAAUACAUGCAAGUCGAGCGCAGCGGGGACGGGUGAGUAACACGUGGAUAACCUCCUAUAAGACUGGCUACCUUCUGGCAACCGGAGCUACACCGUAUACUUAUAGAUGGAUCCGCGCUGCAUUAGCUAGUUGGUAAGGUAACGGCUUACCAAGGCAACGAUGCAUAGCCGACCUGAGAGGGGGAUCGGCCACACUGGAACUGAGACACGGUCCAGACUCCUACGGGAGGCAGAAGUAGGGAAUCGUCCGCAAUGGGCGAAAGCCUGACGGAGCAACGCCGCGUGAGUGAUGAAGGUCUUCGGAUCGUAAAACUCUGUUAUUAGGGAAGCGGGACCGAAUCAGAAAGCAACGGCUAACUCCGUGCCAGCAGCCGCGGUAAUUC
Molecule: ribosomal RNA, 404 nt
Filed under: uncultured bacterium
Lineage: Bacteria
Description: partial 16S ribosomal RNA
Rfam family: Bacterial small subunit ribosomal RNA
Source: RNAcentral